AGAUUGAACGCUGGCGGCAGGCCUAACACAUGCAAGUCGAGCGGUAGAGAGAAGCUUGCUUCUCUUGAGAGCGGCGGACGGGUGAGUAAUGCCUAGGAAUCUGCCUGGUAGUGGGGGAUAACGUUCGGAAACGGACGCUAAUACCGCAUACGUCCUACGGGAGAAAGCAGGGGACCUUCGGGCCUUGCGCUAUCAGAUGAGCCUAGGUCGGAUUAGCUAGUUGGUGAGGUAAUGGCUCACCAAGGCGACGAUCCGUAACUGGUCUGAGAGGAUGAUCAGUCACACUGGAACUGAGACACGGUCCAGACUCCUACGGGAGGCAGCAGUGGGGAAUAUUGGACAAUGGGCGAAAGCCUGAUCCAGCCAUGCCGCGUGUGUGAAGAAGGUCUUCGGAUUGUAAAGCACUUUAAGUUGGGAGGAAGGGCAGUUACCUAAUACGUGAUUGUUUUGACGUUACCGACAGAAUAAGCACCGGCUAACUCUGUGCCAGCAGCCGCGGUAAUACAGAGGGUGCAAGCGUUAAUCGGAAUUACUGGGCGUAAAGCGCGCGUAGGUGGUUUGUUAAGUUGGAUGUGAAAUCCCCGGGCUCAACCUGGGAACUGCAUUCAAAACUGACUGACUAGAGUAUGGUAGAGGGUGGUGGAAUUUCCUGUGUAGCGGUGAAAUGCGUAGAUAUAGGAAGGAACACCAGUGGCGAAGGCGACCACCUGGACUGAUACUGACACUGAGGUGCGAAAGCGUGGGGAGCAAACAGGAUUAGAUACCCUGGUAGUCCACGCCGUAAACGAUGUCAACUAGCCGUUGGGAGCCUUGAGCUCUUAGUGGCGCAGCUAACGCAUUAAGU
RNAcentral lists this ribosomal RNA (844 nucleotides) under bacterium. RNAcentral's name for it is "bacterial SSU rRNA". It matches the Rfam family "Bacterial small subunit ribosomal RNA", at positions 26 to 865 of the family's 1533-position model. The record is from RNAcentral.